RNAcentral lists this ribosomal RNA (492 nucleotides) under uncultured bacterium. RNAcentral describes it as "partial 16S ribosomal RNA". It matches the Rfam family "Bacterial small subunit ribosomal RNA", at positions 29 to 507 of the family's 1533-position model. The record is from RNAcentral.
AGUGAACGCUGGCGGCAGGCCUAACACAUGCAAGUCGAACGGCAGCACAGUAAGCGCUUGCUCUUACGGGUGGCGAGUGGCGGACGGGUGAGGAAUACAUCGGAAUCUACUUUUUCGUGGGGGAUAACGUAGGGAAACUUACGCUAAUACCGCAUACGACCUACGGGUGAAAGCAGGGGAUCUUCGGACCUUGCGCGAUUCAAUGAGCCGAUGUCGGAUUAGCUAGUUGGCGGGGUAAAGGCCCACCAAGGCGACGAUCCGUAGCUGGUCUGAGAGGAUGAUCAGCCACACUGGAACUGAGACACGGUCCAGACUCCUACGGGAGGCAGCAGUGGGGAAUAUUGGACAAUGGGCGCAAGCCUGAUCCAGCCAUACCGCGUGAGUGAAGAAGGCCUUCGGGUUGUAAAGCCCUUUUGUUGGGAAAGAAAAGCAGCAGGUUAAUACCCCGCUGUUUUGACGGUACCCAAAGAAAAAGCACCGGCUAACUUCGUG